UACGGGGGGGGCAAGCGUUGUUCGGAAUUACUGGGCGUAAAGGGCGCGUAGGCGGUCUGUUAAGUUGGAUGUGAAAACUCUGGGCUUAACCCAGAGCCUGCAUCCAAAACUAGCAGGCUAGAGUUCUGGAGGGGAUAGCGGAAUUCCUGGUGUAGCGGUGAAAUGCGUAGAUAUCAGGAGGAACACCGGUGGCGAAGGCGGCUAUCUGGACAGAAACUGACGCUGAGUCGCGAAAUCUAGGGGAGCAAACAGG
This 253-nucleotide ribosomal RNA is filed under the name uncultured bacterium. RNAcentral describes it as "partial 16S ribosomal RNA". It matches the Rfam family "Bacterial small subunit ribosomal RNA", at positions 524 to 776 of the family's 1533-position model. The record is from RNAcentral.